GACGAACGCUGGCGGCGUGCUUAACACAUGCAAGUCGAACGGAAAGGCCUUUUCGGAGGUACUCGAGUGGCGAACGGGUGAGUAACACGUGGGUGAUCUGCCCUGCACUCUGGGAUAAGCCUGGGAAACUGGGUCUAAUACCGGAUAGGACCGCACUUUAGUGUGUGUGGUGGAAAGUUUUUUCGGUGUAGGAUGAGCCCGCGGCCUAACAGCUUGUUGGUGGGGUAAUGGCCUACCAAGGCGGCGACGGGUAGCCGGACUGAGAGGUUGGUCGGCCACAUUGGGACUGAGAUACGGCCCAGACUCCUACGGGAGGCAGCAGUGGGGAAUAUUGCACAAUGGGCGCAAGCCUGAUGCAGCGACGCCGCGUGGGGGAUGACGGCCUUCGGGUUGUAAACUCCUUUCGCCAGGGACGAAGCGUUUUGUGACGGUACCUGGAGAAGAAGCACCGGCUAACUACGUG
This 463-nucleotide ribosomal RNA is filed under the name uncultured bacterium. Its description in RNAcentral is "partial 16S ribosomal RNA". It matches the Rfam family "Bacterial small subunit ribosomal RNA", at positions 28 to 507 of the family's 1533-position model. The record is from RNAcentral.